Molecule: ribosomal RNA, 495 nt
Filed under: uncultured bacterium
Lineage: Bacteria
Description: partial 16S ribosomal RNA
Rfam family: Bacterial small subunit ribosomal RNA
Source: RNAcentral
GACGAACGCUGGCGGCGUGCCUAAUACAUGCAAGUAGAACGCUGAAGGCGGAGCUUGCUUCUCUGGAUGAGUUGCGAACGGGUGAGUAACGCGUAGGUAACCUGCCUGGUAGCGGGGGAUAACUAUUGGAAACGAUAGCUAAUACCGCAUAAUAGUAGAUGUUGCAUGACAUUUGCUUAAAAGGUGCAAUUGCAUCACUACCAGAUGGACCUGCGUUGUAUUAGCUAGUUGGUGGGGUAACGGCUCACCAAGGCGACGAUACAUAGCCGACCUGAGAGGGUGAUCGGCCAGACUGGGAGUGAGACAGGGCCCAGAGGCCUACGGGAGGGAGCAGGAGGGAAUGUUCGGCAAUGGACGGAAGUCUGACCGAGCAACGCCGCGGGAGGGAAGAAGGUUUUCGGAUCGUAAAGCUCUGUUGUAAGAGAAGAACGAGUGUGAGAGUGGAAAGUUCACACUGUGACGGUAUCUUACCAGAAAGGGACGGCUAACUACGUG